Molecule: ribosomal RNA, 576 nt
Filed under: Bacillus salacetis
Lineage: Bacteria; Bacillati; Bacillota; Bacilli; Caryophanales; Bacillaceae
Description: Bacterial large subunit ribosomal RNA
Rfam family: Bacterial large subunit ribosomal RNA
Source: Rfam by way of RNAcentral
AAGGGCGCACGGUGGAUGCCUUGGCACUAGGAGCCGAUGAAGGACGGGACUAACACCGAUAUGCUUCGGGGAGCUGUAAGUAAGCUUUGAUCCGGAGAUUUCCGAAUGGGGGAACCCGCUGCACGUAAUGGUGCAGUAUCCAUACUUGAAUACAUAGAGUAUGGAAGGCAGACCCGGGGAACUGAAACAUCUAAGUACCCGGAGGAAGAGAAAGCAAACGCGAUUCCCUGAGUAGCGGCGAGCGAAACGGGAUUAGCCCAAACCAAGAGGCUUGCCUCUUGGGGUUGUAGGACACUCUAUACGGAGUUACAAAGGAACGAAGUAGACGAAGAAGUCUGGAAAGGCUCGUCACAGAAGGUAACAACCCUGUAGUCGAAACUUCGUUCCCUCUUGAGUGGAUCCUGAGUACGGCGGGACACGAGAAAUCCCGUCGGAAGCUGGGAGGACCAUCUCCCAAGGCUAAAUACUCCCUAGUGACCGAUAGUGAACCAGUACCGUGAGGGAAAGGUGAAAAGCACCCCGGAAGGGGAGUGAAAUAGAACCUGAAACCGUGUGCCUACAAGUAGUCAGAGCCCG